UGCGAUCCAGCUUCAGCUUCAUCUUCUGCGUCCAGAUGCCCUUGGACUUCUCCAUUUGAAACAACUUCCGCAACCCAUCCUUGGGGGUCUCCAGCGCUGGAAGGUGCGAAGGUGUGGAGUUUGCUCAAGGCUUUGCUACCUUGGACACUGGGCCCAACGGUGGCAAGUCGCUGGAGUCACUGGGUCGCACAUAGAGGGCAGCGCACAAUCAUCAAGUAUGCUGACAAAAUAACGAGAGGAGUGAGUUCUGCAGAACAAAUCCGGGUCCUUCGCUCUUGUGGCUGCGGUCGGGUUCCACUACUGCGAGGAGUCGCCACCGACUCGUCGAGGACAUUCGUCGGGGCCUGGCGCGAAUGACACUGACAUGGCAAAAGAAAAAUGGAAUGCAUUGUAGUUGGACAAACCAUUGCAAGUCGUCACCACCGGCUUUUAUACUACCGGCCAUGGCACCGGUAACCUCUCAAUCUAAAAGCUUGAGUGGAGUCAUCCCUGGCUUGCUGCCAUCUGCACAUUGUCUGCACUGCCGCCUGCUGCCCUGUACUGCAAUCGAGACACCCGGGGCAGUGGAGAUGCAUGUGGCAGGUUUGGCACAAUUGGCUUGGAACGUUCGGCAGCUGGGACAGAAGCCAGCAGUCACCAGCUGCUGCUGCAACUUUCUUGGCAGGAAACGCGUCGGUGCCGACUACCACGUUGCCGUUUCCAGAGUCCUGGCUUAGAGUUGUGCUGUCCAGUCUGCAGAGUUGCUGCUGCGAGCAGUGGACUGCUGUAGUGCCAGGAAUGCCGUAGGAUGCAUACUUCAAUAAGUCCGAUGAAGAUUCUUGCAAAAGGGGCAGUAGCAUUAGUAAAACUAAAAGUUAUCACUUGAGAAUGCCGCCCCUGUGUGGUUCGUACCUGUGGCCAAUGAAGUGCAAAUGGUGAUGACAGUGCACCAUUUCCAGAGGAAAACCUUAUUAAUAGAAAAAAAAAAGGGGGAAGGUACUAUCUACGAAGGUAAAUUCUGAAUGUCCAGUUUUUUCUUAUUGCAAACAUGGAAAGCAUGCUACAUUUCUCUCUUAUGAAUCGGACGCAUGUUACAUUUGGGUGCAUUUUUAUUUUCUUACUUUAAGCCCAUGAAUAUUGGGUGCGUGUUAGAAUCGGGUAAAUACAGAACAUGCGUCAACUUUCUUGUGCACGUGAAGCCAGCACGUGCCUCAUGUGAUUCUUGUGCCCAUGAAAAUGGCUCACUGCAACAAUCACAAAUAUGCCUCAGGAUAGGAGAGACAUAAUUUUUAUGGCAACAAACUACUAGGAAUAGAGUAAUUAACAGCGAUAGAACGAGGAAUGUCACUGAAGUAGAACAAGGAAUGGCUUCAGUGACAUUCCUUAUUCUGCCACUGUUAAUAACUAUCUGUAAACCUCUGUUUUAUUUUGUAUUAGCAAUAGCGGACACAGAAAGCUGGAUAUAUGCAUAUUAAUUUAUAAACUAUAAACUCAAAAUGGCAUGAUAUUUUAUUAGUUACUGGCUCUAGGCUUUGUGCUUUAAUUGUUGAACAGAGGGGAGACAACACAAAGAUGCUCUUAUGUCUCGUCUUUAAUUCAGCUGGUAAAUUUGCCCGUCUUGAACCAAAUGAACCAUGUGGCUUAAAGGGACCCUAAAAUGAUUUUGACAAUUUUGCACAAACGUACUGAGUCAUUAAGGUAGGUCUUCCUGAUCAUUAAGUGAUGCAUUCAGGUGCUCCAUGUAAUGCGCGCAAUUUAUUAUCGAUACCAUUGAACAGGCUGUCUCCACCACUGGUGUAUCUUACAUUCUUGCGUUAUUGUGCCUUCGCAAACAAUAACCUUCUUGUAACUAUAGUGUACUUGUGUCAUGUCAACCUUUUUAUUUAUUUAUUUGUACUAUGUCACCACAUUGUAUUGUUUGAUACUGCGUUGCUUCUGUUAAACUUGUGUUUGAUUCAAUCGCCCCCCCUCCUACUCUAUGUUACUGACGGAACCUGUAAGGAAACCUGAAUGAAUGAAUGAAUGAAUGAAUGAAUGAAUGAAUGAAUGAAUAAACAAACAAAUAAAUAAAUAAAAGGUUUUAAAAAAUGUGCAUAGCAACCAAUCGCAGCAGCGCCGCUCCCCUGAGUUAUCAGCCGCUCCAUUACAAUCUAUGUAAUUUGUUGCACUUGACUUCAGUUGGGCGAACUGUCCGAUUGGCUACCCAAUUUGCGUGAUCAAUAAUGUUUCCAACUUCAUUGUGAACCAAUGUUGUUCGUAAUAGUUGGAAUGUUGGUUAACCUGUUUGUAUAUAUAAAAGAAAGCAACCGUAAAAGAAUACACAAUGUCAAUUUAUCACUACACUCAAGCACUUCCGGCACACAGAAAGUGUUGUCUGCUUGUGUUAGAAUGUGCACUAUGCUUAGGUGAGCUGCGCAUUCAGUGUUGGUCUAGAAGUUUUGUUUCAUGAAAACCAUGAAUCACCCUUGUUGCAGUGUGCACUGCAAAUCUAGUGAUUGGCGACAUUUCCAAGUUGCGAAAUCGUGUCCCUCUGCUGAGUGUCUAAAGUGCAUCAGGCCGCAGAUAUGCAAUCGGCGCCAGGAUCUAUGCAUUUGCGGCCAUCACUUCAUACCGGAGGAUUACUUGCCACAGCAAGCAGUUUUAGCGUGUCCAGUAUUUUGGUAAACACAGGUGAACUGCGCAUUUCGCCAGUAGGCGGAAGCACAAAUGUGAGUGUCCUGUAGGUAGCAGCCACCUCGUGGCACAGAGCCCAAUCAAACACAGAGCUAAUAUAGCAUUAGCCAAGUGUGUUUUACUUUGUCGUUUGUGCAAAUUUUCAUUUGUACAAUUUCUUUUGAAAUGUUUAAAAUGUUUUACUCUUGGUUACUACAAUAUUAGCUCUUUGUUUGGCUGCUGAAGCUCUGCACCACCAGGUGGCUAUACAGUGCAGGCUUCUCGCUCAUGCUUGUGCUAAAGCCUUUUCAUCACAGCAGUAGUAGUAUGGAGGGGGCUUUAGUUUACGCAUUUGCUCGUCCAUCAAAACACCCAGCUUGCUAGCAUUUGCUGGAACCCUAGACACGCUCGGCAUAGUGACAGAACGCUUUCAAUACACGCGGCUUGGAUAGCUCUUGCUGGGGAUUGAUGGCCAGGUGGCCAGCAGAGAGGUUGAAGACGCUUCGCGUGCUGUCUCCAAGACACACCAGAAGUAGAUGUCAUGAGGUCACAUCAUGACGCAGAGCGAGCGUAGGCAGAGGUUAGCCCUGAUCGCUCUGCAAACGAGUUGAGGAGAAAAAGCAUGGCUAGGGAGACGGGUAACUUAAUAUUGACUGUAGCUCUUUUAAUAUGAGAUGCUUCAAAUAAAUUGUUGCGUGAAUGUUUUAUUGUAGCUGUACCCUAUGCGUCUACAAAAUUUGUCCAAACUGUUUCGGGGUCCCUUUAAUAGAAUACCAUUCCAAGUGUGUCUGAGGCUUGUCUACUGAUUAAGAAUUGUCAUACUAACACCAGCUUCUACAUCAGUGCUUGCAAAAACAGGCUUCAAAAUACAUAUGCACUACUUUACCCAAAUAUUUGAACAAGGCUUUUAGAGACUGUAAUAGCAGUGCAUAAAGCAAUGCAUUUUACAACACAUGAACUGUCACUAUUUCAAGGCACACUUCAGCUAUAAAUGUGGUGAAGCUGGUACUGAUGGCUAGUGUGCAUAAUCUUGGAUUUCUAGCUUCGAUUCCAUACCACAUAUAACACCUGGCCUAAACAAGAGAAUGGCAAGUUGAAAGGGAUGCAUGCAGCAUAGUAAACAAGGUGACGAAGGUUGA
Molecule: long non-coding RNA, 3770 nt
Organism: Dermacentor albipictus
Lineage: Eukaryota; Metazoa; Arthropoda; Arachnida; Ixodida; Ixodidae
Source: RefSeq, a predicted model, not a curated record